GACGAACGCUGGCGGCGUGCUUAACACAUGCAAGUCGAACGGUAAGGCCCUUCGGGGCACACGAGUGGCGAACGGGUGAGUAACACGUGGGUGAUCUGCCCUGCACUUCGGGAUAAGCCUGGGAAACCGGGUCUAAUACCGGAUAGGACUCCGGACUGCAUGGUCUGGGGUGGAAAGCUUUUGCGGUGUGGGAUGGGCCCGCGGCCUAUCAGCUUGUUGGUGGGGUGAUGGCCUACCAAGGCGACGACGUGUAGCCGGCCUGAUAGUGUGACCGGCCACAGUGGGAAUGAGAUACGGCCCAGAUUACUGCGGGAGGCAGCAGUGGGUAAUUUUGCACAUUGGGCGCAAGCCUGAUGCAGCGACGCCGCGUGAGGGAUGACGGCCUUCGGGUUGUAAACCUCUUUCAGCACCGACGAAGCGCAAGUGACGGUAGGUGCAGAAGAAGGACCGGCCAACUACGUGCCAGCCGCCGCGGUAA
Molecule: ribosomal RNA, 478 nt
Filed under: uncultured bacterium
Lineage: Bacteria
Description: partial 16S ribosomal RNA
Rfam family: Bacterial small subunit ribosomal RNA
Source: RNAcentral